UCAGCUCCGCCCUGUAACCUUAUGCUGCCCUGGCGGGGUCAGAUUUUGAGUUCCCUCUGUUCGGGCUGUUGGUCCUGGCAUUACCCGCAUCCAGGUUUUGUGGAAUUUGUAUGUCUGAUGUGAGAGUUUCUAGUGUUAAGAAUGUGCUAGACUUUUGUUUGAGAACAUGGAAGACAUGGCAGGCGUGUGUUUAUCUAGCGGUUACCGGUUGUGGUAUUAUAGCACGAACUAUGUUCUUGUUUUGGUGAUUCGUCUUGCCUAUUGGUCUAUAUUAUGUUCGCGAGAUCUUGAUUGCCUCGCUGGUUGAGAACUAACUUUGCUAACUUUAACUCUCUGAUGUUAUUGGCGUGUUGUUUGAAAUGCUGAUAUCGGUAGUAGUGAGAGCAACUUGAACAGGCUGACCCAAACAGACGGUGUUUUUGUCCGCUUUUUGUCCGUUUGGGUCGGCCGCCCGCUGUCCGUCCUCUUUUAGUUUUGGGUCUGCAUUGUGCCCAACGGACCGACCCAUUUCAUGACCGCGUGCGUUUAAGAUCAUGCCGUUGCCCUGGUUUUGGCGCUCUAGCGCGCGGGAAAGGUGCGCGCUCCAGCGCGCGGGAAAGGUUCACGCGCGCAUCGUGGCCGACGCUCGUUAUAAAGAAGGCGUUCCCUCCACACUCUGUUCGCCGCCCAUUCUCGCCGCCUGGGCGCUUCGGAUUUUCGGAGAGUCCGUGAGCGCCGCUCCGGCGCCUUCUCCUCUGAGAUCUGGUUUCGCGAGAAACGUCUCAUCCUCAGCAUCUUCGACACCGCAGAGGAGGCGGCCCGCGCGCACGACGCGGCGGCGUGGCGCCUCCUGAGGCCUCGUCGGGAAAUGAAUUUUCCCAACGUGUCCAGCCAGCGGGCGCAGGAUCUGGCGCCUCUCCCGCGGCUUUUCACCGACGAGGAUCGUCGUGUCCACCGGAGGCGGCUGCGUCGCCGCGCCAUCGCAGAGAAGGACGUGAAAGCCUUGGUGGUGUGGUGUAGAGGCUUCCCGCAGGACAUCGUCGACGAGCGCCAGUUCUACAAGCAAUUGAUGUUGGAGAGGGACGCAAGGAGGAGGGAGCGAGCCGCCUAUCGGGAGGACAAGCGUUCGCGGAAGCAAGCAGCUCAAUUGAAACUGAAGCUACGAGAAACGUCGGGUUGGGACUUUGAAGACGAGCAGCUUACUGACGCCUACCUUCAGACGUCGGAGGAGGAUAUUACCGAGUCGGAGUCAGAAAGCGACGAGUAGUGGUCUUUUUCUUUUAUCUGUGUACGCUAGAACUAUCUAUGUAUCUGAAAAAAUGGCCGGCGGCGUCGGCGACGUAGCAGGCGGGCGAGGGUGUGAAUCCACUGUGCCACCGACCAGCGGGAUCGAUGAGGAAAGAGGGCGAGCGCGCGCGCGUCCGUCUUGUGUCCGCGCCGACGCAAAUUAGGCUAAAAAAUGGGCCCGGAAUGGGUCGGCAGGCGGACGAAAGCGGACGCCCGUCCGUUUGGGUCGGCGCGUUGGGCCGGCUUUUUUGUCCACGCAAACCCAAACGGACGGCCGCGGACAAAAUGGGUCGCCCAUAGGAGUUGCUCUAAUUUACCAGUCAAUUUUCUCAAAAACAACGUGUGUUGUCAUAUAUAUCAUGGAAGAUCAUAAAAGCCCAUGUGAUGUGGCCACUUCACAACGGCGCGCUGGAGACAGGAGCUCCUUUCUAUUUUGAGGGAAAGAGACAGGAGUUCCAUUUUGGCGGUGAAUCCUAUGUCCUAUUCCUCUCGCAGGUCGGUGAGUAUUGAUCAAAGGUGAAUCCCCGCGCUUGUUCUUCGCAUGGGUGGGUCCAUUCUGGGGUUUUGCCCCACUGGUUAAGGGAAGGUUCCUUUCUACUUUUUUUUAAAAUUCAGGAUUUUUCAUAAAAUCAGUAUUUUUAAAUUAAAAUCAUGAACAAUUCUUUAUUUCAUGUACAUGUGGGAAAAUCACGAAGGCAUUUCAAAUUCAUGAAAUUAUUUAAAAGUUUUGAUCUGAAUUCAAGAACAAUUUUUGAAAUUCAUGAAUAUUUUUUUUUAAACUUGAUGUUCGCGAGUCCUUGAUUGCCUCGCUGGCUGAGAACUAACUUUGCUAACUUUAACUCUCCGAUGUUAUUGGCGUGUUGUUUGAAAUGCUGAUAUCGGUGGUAGUAACUUACCAGUCAAUUUUCUCAAAAACAAUGUGUGUUGUCAUAUAUAUCAUGGAAGAUCAUAAAAGCCCAUGUGAUGUGGCCACUUCACAACGGCGCUGGAGACAGGAGCUCCUUUCUUUUUUGAGGGAAAGAGACGGGAGUUCCAUUUUGGCGGUGAAUCCUAUGUCCUAUAUAUUCCUCUCGCAGGUCGGUGAGUAUCGAUCAAAGGUGGAUCCCCGCGCUUGUUCCUCGCAUGGGUGGGUCCAUUCUGGGGUUUUCCCCCACUGGUUAAGGGAAGGUUCCUUUCUGCUUCUUUUUUAUAAAUUCAGGAUUUUUCAUAAAAUCAGUAUUUUUUAAAUUAAAAUCAUGAACAAUUCUUUAUUUCAUGUACAUCUUGGAAAAUCACGAAGGCAUUUCAAAUUCAUGGAAUUAUUUAAAAGUUUUGAUCAUUUUCUGAAUUUAAGAACAAUUUUUGAAAUUCAUGAAUAUUUUUUUCAAACUUGCGAACAUUAUUUCGAAAGUAGUGGUUGUUUUCUUUCAAACUAACAAACAUUUAUUGAAAUCAUGAACAUUAUUUGAAUUCAUGAAUAUUUUUUGAAUUCGUGACCAUUUUUUAAACUUGUAAUUAUUUUUUGAAAUUAGUGAACAUUGUUUGAACUCAGGAUUUUUUGAACUUUCAUGAACAUUUUUUUGAAUUCACGAACAUUUUUUGAAAGUCAUAAACAUGUUUGAACUCAUGAAUUUUAUUUUAGAAUUCAUGAACAUUAUUUUGAAUUCAUGAACCUUUUUGCACUUCAUGAUUAUUUUCUGAAUUCAAUAACUUUUGUUGAUUUCAUGAGCAUUUUUUGAAUUCACGAACAUUUUUUUAAAUUCAUGUUUUAUUUGAAUUUCUCAACAUUUUUCAAAUUGGUGAUAAUCUUUUCAAGUAUUCCCUUAGAUCUUAUUAAUUGUUGCUGACUUAGAACAACUUUAGUAGAAAGUUGUAUUAAGUCAGCCACAAUUAAUAUGGAUUAGAGGGAGUACAUUGACAUUUAAAAAAAAUGAAAACUAUUUUUAAAUCCCAAACAAUUUUACCGAAGCAAAAAACAAAAAAANNNNNNNNNNNNNNNNNNNNNNNNNNNNNNNNNNNNNNNNNNNNNNNNNNNNNNNNNNNNNNNNNNNNNNNNNNNNNNNNNNNNNNNNNNNNNNNNNNNNNNNNNNNNNNNNNNNNNNNNNNNNNNNNNNNNNNNNNNNNNNNNNNNNNNNNNNNNNNNNNNNNNNNNNNNNNNNNNNNNNNNNNNNNNNNNNNNNNNNNNNNNNNNNNNNNNNNNNNNNNNNNNNNNNNNNNNNNNNNNNNNNNNNNNNNNNNNNNNNNNNNNNNNNNNNNNNNNNNNNNNNNNNNNNNNNNNNNNNNNNNNNNNNNNNNNNNNNNNNNNNNNNNNNNNNNNNNNNNNNNNNNNNNNNNNNNNNNNNNNNNNNNNNNNNNNNNNNNNNNNNNNNNNNNNNNNNNNNNNNNNNNNNGAUGGUCUUUUCACCCGCGCCCAUACGCGGCUUGCGUACAUAUACGCGCUCCCUAUUUCCUCACAGCGUGUUUUUUUCUCGCGUCGCCGUCAGCUGUUUUUCACUUUCUUUUUAGAAGAAAAAAAGAGUGCAAGUAACAUGACUUGAACUCACAACCUCUUGGUGUAAGGAUGACCACACUAACCAACUAGGACAUCCUAAUGCUUAUAAAUAUUAACUUCUUUUUUUGCUUUCUUCUACUUCAGUUCGUGGCUGGGCCGGCCAUUGUUGAAUCUAUCAUUUCAUCAUUAUUGAAAAAUGAAAAAGAAUAAAAAAUCAAACAAUAAACUGGUCGCUAAUUGAUAUAUUUUCAUUAUUAUUUUCUAUUAAAUAGAUGUUUAUUUAUAAGUGUUCGAUUUUCUUCACUGAGCAUGUUUCCGUUUAAAUGAACAAUAAACGAAGAUUUUGGUUCAAUCAAACAAUGAACGAACAAUUUUCUAUUUAAUAGAUGUUCAGAAAUUUAAUUAUAUUGAUGUCAGAAUUUUUCUAUUUAAACGAAUAAUUUUUUACAUAUAUGUACAUUUUUUUAAAUGCAAAUAUUUGUACUUUAUGGACAAAAUUUUAAAAAUCAAACAUUUUUGGAACUUUUGAGAUUUUUUUAUAUGUGUGAGCAUUUCUUGAAAAAUAAAAAUAAAAUGAAAAAUAAAAAAACGAAUAGAGAAAACAUAAAAGAAAUAGUGAUAAACGGGCUGGUUCAACACAAUGGGCCGGCCCAGCCGCGAACCGUAGUAGAGUAAAAUAAGAAAAAGAAGUAAAUAGGCACAACCCUUAAGGUGUCCUAGAUGGUUAGAGUGGUGGUCCUUAGACCUAGAGAUAUUGAGUUUGAUUCAUGUCGCAUGUGUUAUUUUUCUAAGUUUAAUAAAAAGUUUGUACGAUGCCUCAUACGUGUCACCUAUGCGUAUGAGUAUAUGGUUUGAUGAAAUGACCAUACUGUCCUUAUACGGUUUGUGGAGGGGGAUCCAAAGAAAACUAUGAAAAAUAUAUGUUCAGUUUCUAAAUCCAAUUAAAGACAAAUAAAUGAAAUAGGACAAUGCAUGAAAGAUAUCCGCCAAUCCGCUAGGGUCCAAUCCGCUAAGGUUUCAUUUCACCCCAACAAAAACAUACGGGAGACAUGUGCCUAGGUGUCAAGAGUAAAUAUUGUUUCCAACAAUGCAUGAAACCAACUGUUGGCUUCUACUCCCUCCAUUCCAACGAAUAAGUUAGACACACAUUUUAAAACUAAAGUUUGACAUAAAUUAGACCAAUCAAUUGUGGGUUAUAUGUGACAAAAAAAUACCAUUGGAUUCGUAUUUGAAAAUAGUUUUCAAUGGUAUAAUUUCCAAUUCAUAGAACAUAUAUUAUUGGUUUAAUUUAUGGUCAAAGUAAGAUUUUGGGAUGCUUGUGCGGCUUAUUUUUUUUGGAAUGGAGGGAGUAUGUUGUAUACUUGAGAUUUUUUGUAGUUAAUUUGCUGCAAUCAAUACAGAUUUGUUGUAUACACAAUUUUUUUUGUUGCAUGAAAAUGUUUAAAAUGUUUCUACGUUUUUUUGCAUGUAUUAAACAUAACUUACAAGAAAAAUAUGUCGGCGGUGUUGCAAAUGUGUAAAAAAAUGUUCCGCGCAAGACUUGGCACAACAAUAGUCAGACGGUUAGUAUAUCAUGUUUAAGACGGAUCGUAUGGCAUGGGAGGCAACCGACCAAGGGCUGCCUCCGCUCUGUUGAUACCUAACACACCCCAAAAUUUUAAGGAAACAAUCUAAUUCAGCAGGGCGUUAAAUGUCUCGGGUCGGCCACCUCCAACGUUGGGCACAAGUCCCGUGCACGGUCACAUCAUUCAAGGUGGACACAUCCUUAUAUGUGGCUAGAAGUCUCCCGUCCAGUCAUUUCCUCCGCCCGCGUAGGUUGCCGCUUCUUCCUCUUCCACUUUCUCGUGGCCUAUGGCCAGGCCGAAGUAAUAGAGGCUCGAGGGUUUCAACACCCAGUGCAUCUGCCUCGUACAACUUCUGAGUGCUCCAAGACCUCCCCACAACUCUACAUCCCUGACCUCUUAGUGUUGUAGGUCAUGUGGCAAUGUUGUGAGGGUACCUGCCGAUGCUACAAGGCUGAUGCUUGAUGGAGCUUGAUGCUGCAAUCCCAGGCGCGAGCUACUACAAGAGGCACUACCGGUGCUUGAAGGGUUGUUGUUGAAGGAAAUAUGUCCUAGAGGCAAUAAUAAAGUUAUUUUAUAUUUCCUUAUAUCGUGAUAAAUUUUUAUUAUUCAGGCUAGAAUUGUAUUAACCGGAAACUUGAUACAUGUGUGGAUGCAUAGACAAAACACCGUGUCCCUAGUAAGCCUCUACUAGACUAGCUCAUUAAACAAAGAUGGUUAAGUUUCCUAACCAUAGACAUGUGUUAAACAAAGAUGGUUAAGUUUCCUAACCAUCAUUAGGAGAAUGAUGUGAUGGACAAGACUAGCUUAGCAUAAUGAUCGUUCAGUUUUAGUGCUAUUGCUUUCUUCAUGUCAAAUACAUAUUCCUUCCACUAUGAGAUUAUGCAACUCCCGAAUACCGGAGGAAUGCCUUAUGUGCUAUCAAACGUCACAACGUAACUGGGUGAUUAUAAAGAUGCUCUAUAGGUAUCUCUGAAGGUGUUUGUUGGGGUGACAUAGAUCGAGAUUAGGAUUUGUCACUCAGAGUAUCAGAGAGGUAUCUCUGGGCCCUCUCGGUAAUGCAAUCAUAAGAAGCCUUGCAAGCAAAGUGACUAAUGAGUUAGUUACAAGAUGAUGUAUUACGGAAUGAGUAAAGAGACUUGCCGGUAACGAGAUUGAACUAGGUAUGUGGAUACCGACGAUCGAAUCUCGGGCAAGUAACAUACCGAUGACAAAGGGAAUAACGUAUGUUGUCAUAACGGUUCGACCGAUAAAGAUCUUCGUAGAAUAUGUAGGAGCCAAUAUGAGCAUCCAAGUUCCGCUAUUGGUUAUUGACCGGAGAGGUAUCUUGGUCAUGUCUACAUAGUUCUCGAACCCGUAGGGUCCGCACGCUUAACGUUCGUUGACGAUAUAAUAUUAUAUGAGUUAUGUGAUUUGGUGACCGAAUGUUGUUUGGAGUCCCGGAUGAGAUCACGGACAUGAUGAGGAGUCUCGAAAUGGUCGAGAGGUAAAGAUUGAUAUAUAGGACGAUGGUAUUCGGACACCGGAAGUGUUCCGGAGGGUACCGGGUACUUAUCAGGUCACCGAAAAGGAGUUUCGGGCACCCCCGGCAAAGAUAUUGGCCUUAUGGGCCAAGUGAGGGAACACACCAGCCCUGGUGCGCCCCUAUAGAGGCCAGCCCUAUGAGGAGGAGGAUAAGGAAAGAGGGGAGAGCAAGGAAAGUGUGGAUUAGGAUUCCUACUUCCUUCCCUCUCCCCCCUCUUUCCUUCCCCCUCGGUUAUAUAUGGCAGGGGGGCACGCGGCUUGGGAGGGACUCCAAGUAGGAUUCCUCCUACUUGGGCGCCUCCUAUGGCUGCUCCUCCCUCCCUCCCCCCCCACACACGCGCACACACACACACACGCACGCACACACACNNNNNNNNNNNNNNNNNNNNNNNNNNNNNNNNNNNNNNNNNNNNNNNNNNNNNNNNNNNNNNNNNNNNNNNNNNNNNNNNNNNNNNNNNNNNNNNNNNNNNNNNNNNNNNNNNNNNNNNNNNNNNNNNNNNNNNNNNNNNNNNNNNNNNNNNNNNNNNNNNNNNNNNNNNNNNNNNNNNNNNNNNNNNNNNNNNNNNNNNNNNNNNNNNNNNNNNNNNNNNNNNNNNNNNNNNNNNNNNNNNNNNNNNNNNNNNNNNNNNNNNNNNNNNNNNNNNNNNNNNNNNNNNNNNNNNNNNNNNNNNNNNNNNNNNNNNNNNNNNNNNNNNNNNNNNNNNNNNNNNNNNNNNNNNNNNNNNNNNNNNNNNNNNNNNNNNNNNNNNNNNNNNNNNNNNNNNNNNNNNNNNNNNACACACACACACACACACACACACACACACACACACACACACAUAUAUAUACAGCCUGCCUAUUCUGCUAAUAUUAGCAGAAUAGUUAUUCUACUAACACUUCGGAACUGCACGCUCAAUGGAAGUGCACGUAAUUUUUUGAAGCAAUAGCACUGCAGUACCGAUGCGAGUGCACUUCCCGUCGCAAAAAACUGUACGCGGUAUUUUUUCGGUACCUUUUUCGCUCUAAUUUUUUUAACCGUUUGUCAGAACGAGGCGUGUAAUAUACCCUUGAAAAGCUAUGGAUUAGGCGCAACUUUGCUAUGUUGAAUUGUUUUCAAGAUUCUUCACGGUUUAAGAGCCGUUUUGAAAAUAGUGCGGCGCGCGACGAGUGGCAGCGAGCGUUUUUUUCUAAACAAUUUGUCGGAAUGAAGCAAAUGAUACACGUUGGAAAGAUAUCAUCGAGGGGCAUCUUUUUCAUAUCUAUUAUUUUCUCUAAUUUGUUACGGUUUAAGAGCAGUUUCAAAUUUACAAAAUCGCGGAAUUCUGGUUUUUGAUUUUUUUUAAAUUUUCGAUAGUGUUUUUUCUCCAGUUUUCUAACCGUUUAUCGAAACGAGACGUGUAAUAUACCGUUGAAAAGCUAUGGACGAGGCGCAACUUUCAUAUGUUGAAAUGUUUUUGAGAUUCCUUAAGGUUUUUAGUUAAUUUUGAAAAUCGUGCGGCUGACUACGAGAGGCAGCGGCCGUUUUUCAUGAAAUUUUUGCAAACCGCUUUGUCGAAAUGAUUCAAAUUAUACGUUGUUGGAUAGAUAUUGACGAGACACAACCUUUUCAUGUAGAAUACUCUCUCCAAUUCCUUACGGUUUAAGAGCAAUUUUGAUUUUAACGAAAUGCGGACACUGUUUUUUCGCGACCCAAAAUCGUCGUUUGUACUGCAUCAGACAGAAAACCGCACUGCUUUAGACUAAAAACAACACUUCAUCAGACGGACAAGUGCAUUGCAUCAUUUCUUUUUUUGUGGGACAGAAAUUUUUCCCAAACGAGGUAGCAAACCGCACUGCUUCAGACUAAAAAACACACUACAUCAGAUGGGCAAGUGCACUGCAUCGUUUCUUUUGCCAGACUUAAUUUUUCUCAUGCGAGGAAGUGAAGUGCGCUUCACAUCGUGCGUAAGUGAACCGCGUUACUUUUUGUUCUUGUUUCGGUAACAUUUUUUCUUGCACUUACGAGAUGAACAUCAUGAGACGGCCGUCCGCACUGCUUCAUAUGGAAAACCGCACUACAUUAGAUGGGCAAGCGAACUUCAUUGUUUUUAUGCAUUUUAUUUUAAAUGGAGUGGACAGAAAAGUCCUUCAUAGUGGACUUUUUUAAGACCAAAGUGCACCGCAUUUGCAUAUUUUUUAAAUGUUUUUUGUUCUAAAUGGAGUGUACUGAAUAGUCCUUUCGUAGUGGGCUUCUUUUAGUCCAAAGUGCACCGCAUUUGCAUGUUUUUUAAAUGCAUUUUGUUUUAAAUGGGGUGUACUGAAAAAUCCUUCAUAGUGGACUUUUGUUCUAAAUGAAGUGUACUGAAGAGUCCUUCAUAGCGGACUUUUUUUAAACCAAAGUGCACUGCAUUUGCAUUUUUUUAAAUGCAUUUUGUUUUCAAUGGAGUGUACUGAAAAGUCCUUCGUGGUGGACUUUUUGUAAGACCAAAGUGCACUGCAUUUGCAUUUUUUUAAAUGCACUUUGGUAUAAAUGUAGUAGAAUAGUCCUUCCUAGUGGACCUUUUUUAGACCAAAGUGCACCACAUGAUCGAAAAGAAUGAACCACAAGACCAUGCUUUUUAUGGACCACAAUUUUUUAAACACAAAUCAUGUAUGUGUUCACCGUACAUGGCAACCGAGUUAAUGUAUCCAAACACAAAAAAGACUGCACGCGCCCAAACGGCAAUGCUUUUUGCCCACAACCGCUACCCCUUUUGUGCCGGACUGAACUUUUGUUCACAAGUAUAGUAGAAGUGUUAGUUUCCUUAUAGGAUGCAAAUCUGUACAACUCUCUCUUGAAGACAUCAAAUUCACAAGUGCACUUAUGAACAAGAAAGUUGCCUUCUCGUUUUGCCUCCAUAAUGGAUCAAAGAAGCAGUGCAAAAGCUUGCCAUCUGAAGAAUGCACAGGAGAUACAUCAGCAAGGAACUGCACAACACACUUUUGAAGGAAAAAGAAAUUCAAACCGAACACUCAGCAUCUGGGAACUACACGCGGGGAGAAGGGGCAGCUCGUCGGGGGCCAGAGAUCCGUUGGUGCGGCGCCACGCCGGGGGAGGCCCUCUGCUUGACGAUGGCACGCCUGGGAGGUGGGCUGCAAUGCGGCGAUUUUUGUGCACUGCAUCAGAAAGUGCAGUCCAUGGCGCGGGGGCGAUGGGAUCCGCACGGCUUCACGUGCCUGCACUGCAUGCCGUCGGGCGGCUGGGAACCUCGCAGGGACGCCUGCACGACUAGCCGACGAGGUAGGGGCUCGACAUGGGGAGGGAGGCCGGCCGUCGCGGGGCGGGGCCAUGGCUGUCGAGGCCAGCAAUCACGGGGGCAGCCCGGCUGGAUCCGGAUGCACUGGUGCGAGGGAGGUGGCUCAUCCGCUCGCCGGUGCGGAUUCGGCGCCCGACGGAUCGGGCGGAGGCAGCGCGAUGGAUGGGUGGGGCACAUGGCGGGGCAGUGGCCAUGGCUGGAGCGGGACGGGGUCGGGGCCGUCGCUGGGCGGCGCUGCAGGUCAGAGGCGCGCUGCGGAGAUGCGGGGCGGCGCUGGACGGGAGGAGUAGAAGGUGUGGCGGCUCUGGACGGGAGGAGGACAAGGCGGGGNNNNNNNNNNNNNNNNNNNNNNNNNNNNNNNNNNNNNNNNNNNNNNNNNNNNNNNNNNNNNNNNNNNNNNNNNNNNNNNNNNNNNNNNNNNNNNNNNNNNNNNNNNNNNNNNNNNNNNNNNNNNNNNNNNNNNNNNNNNNNNNNNNNNNNNNNNNNNNNNNNNNNNNNNNNNNNNNNNNNNNNNNNNNNNNNNNNNNNNNNNNNNNNNNNNNNNNNNNNNNNNNNNNNNNNNNNNNNNNNNNNNNNNNNNNNNNNNNNNNNNNNNNNNNNNNNNNNNNNNNNNNNNNNNNNNNNNNNNNNNNNNNNNNNNNNNNNNNNNNNNNNNNNNNNNNNNNNNNNNNNNNNNNNNNNNNNNNNNNNNNNNNNNNNNNNNNNNNNNNNNNNNNNNNNNNNNNNNNNNNNNNNNNNNNNNNNNNNNNNNNNNNNNNNNNNNNNNNNNNNNNNNNNNNNNNNNNNNNNNNNNNNNNNNNNNNNNNNNNNNNNNNNNNNNNNNNNNNNNNNNNNNNNNNNNNNNNNNNNNNNNNNNNNNNNNNNNNNNNNNNNNNNNNNNNNNNNNNNNNNNNNNNNNNNNNNNNNNNNNNNNNNNNNNNNNNNNNNNNNNNNNNNNNNNNNNNNNNNNNNNNNNNNNNNNNNNNNNNNNNNNNNNNNNNNNNNNNNNNNNNNNNNNNNNNNNNNNNNNNNNNNNNNNNNNNNNNNNNNNNNNNNNNNNNNNNNNNNNNNNNNNNNNNNNCCCGACAGGAUCCACCUAAUUCCCCGAUCCCGAGCCGACCAACCCCCCUCCUUGCCGCUCCUUCCCUCGAUCCCCGACCUCCCCCCUCGUUUGCCGCCGAUCUUCGCCGGAUCCGCCGCCUCCCCUCCGUCUCCAGCUCCUGGUUGACCGAAUCCGCCGCCACACCUCCGUCCCACCUCCUGGCCGACCACCGGCGCGAGCGAGCGAGCGACGGCGGACGCUGGCGCGAGGGAGCCCGCGUCGCCUAGACGCGGCGAAGCCGCCACGGACUUCCGGAAGCCGCAUCCUCCUUCCAUCCUCACCACCCGACGUCUUGGCAGAGCAGAUGACGGCCCUGACGCAAGCUAUGGCGAAUGGCGCGGCCAACGGAGCAACUCCUCAGCGGAGGCGGCAUCGGCGGCGCCUUCAAAUCCAACAACAGUACAUGAACUUCCUCCCACUUGUUGCCUUCUUCUUCAAUCUUGCCUUGCCUAACCUUCUUGCUUCGUGUAGAUGAACUUCGUGCCCUCUGCAAGACAUGGAUUUCCGUGGAAUUCCUCUCCUACCUCCAUGACGAAUUGCUCUCAAGGUGGCCUAUCAGUUGCUAGAAAAAGGUUGGCCGGACUUCUAGCCAGGGUAUGGUUGAACUUCUUCCUUCUGUUUGUUAUUUUCUUACAGCCAUGUGAAGUUCAGGUAGGUUGUGAGCCUCAGUCCAGGCUGCAAAACAUUUGGAAAAUCUGCCUGCUUACAGCCAUGUGAAGUUCAGGUAGUUUGUGAGCCUCAGUCCAGGCUACAAACAUCAUUUUAAAAUCUGCCUGCUUAGAGCCAUGUGAAGUUCUGGUAGUGUGUGAGCCUCAGUCCAGGCUACAAACAGUAGAAAAUCUGCUUGUGAAAUCUGCCUGCUUUUCACAUUCACAUGUGAAAAGCCAUGUGAAGUUCAACUAUUAAGUGUGCCAGAGUUCAGGUUGGUAUGUAUCUAGUUCUGUGCAAAAAAAUAAAUAAAAGGAAAAUAGAACAUGCAUGUGAUCUCACAUGAAGGUCACGUUGGUAUGCACUAGUGGUUCAACCAUUCAAACUCAUGAAGGUUUAGGUUUUUUAACUUUAGACAAUAUUUCCCCUUUGCAAAACAAGAAGUUCAUGUUGUGGAGAGUGCUCAGUUCAGGUACAUAUAAGUAAUCAAAUAGUGUAGAAUUAACAGAAUGUGAGGUUCAUUCUAUGAAGGGUGCUCAGUUCAGGUACAAAAGUAUUGGCAGAUGCUCAGCUCAGUGCAGAGUGUGAUGCCUAUCCUAGGGGAAAAAUAUGUACAUGAACACCACUUUUAUAUGAGAAGUUCAGGCUGUGAAUAAUGCUAAGUUCAGUUACAAAGGUAUAGGCAGAUGUAACUUGUGUGCUAAUAAACAUUUUUUUCUUUUGUGUCAGCAAGACGAGAGACGUAUGAAGAAGCUUAGAAGUUCCCAGCAGAAAGUACACAAUCCUAACUUCCUCAAAAAAAAGUACACAAUCCUAAGCCUGUACGCGUUGCACCACCCCCUCAAUGGGUCACACCUCAAACGCACCAACAACAUUGCCAACCUGCUCUAGACCAAAAAUGGAUGACAUCCGAAACACAUGGAGACUUCCAAGAUGCUGGGUCGCAGCCCUAUCCGCACAACUUUGCGCCUCCACCUAAUUGGGUGACGCUGGAAAUCCCCCACGGAUUCUUUGUAUCACCAGCAGACUCCCAAGCACGCUGAUGGAGGAGGGGGUUAGCUCAAGUCCUGCGUGUAACUCUGGAGGUUAUCCUAGUGUGCCUCAUCAAUGCCAAAGGGAAGCAACUAAACCGGAUCCCAGGACAAAUCCAACAGGAACACACACACGGAGGAGAGUGCUCUGCACACUACAACCGUUGGAUCCUGCUGCUGCUGCUACAAGUCAGAAUUGUACGGGACAUAAGGUAGAUGGAUUGCAUCACAAAACAAAAGAGCAAACCAAGACCAGGAUCGCAAUACCUCCACAACCACCUCAAGCAAAAAAGGACGCAAACAAGAGAGAGGCCAUCUUCAGCCCUCCUUCCUCCUCGUGAUCCACUCCUGCAUCCUGCUAUGAUUACUCCGCCGUGCCCCAUCCCAGAGGGACACCAGCAGACUCCGGUGGAGUUGCGAUCAUACACGCACGUAAGUGAAACAAAAUAUUUAUAUACACAUCUUGUAUUAUCUGCAAAUUUUCUGCUCCCUCCAGGAUAACAAGUUCAUAAACUGCAUUUUAACGUGCCGUUUGGAUUUCUUUUUCUUUUUCUGCAGAUGCCGGAUCUCCCGGUUUAUCUAAUACCAAGACUAAAGAUGCGAUUCUGAGAUGUAGAGAAAGCAAGGGAAUUUUAUAACAGAUACGCCAGACACGCUGGUUUUGGAAUCAGGAAGACGGGAGGGAAUGACAAUCACAAGUAUUUUGUUUGUGGGGUCCAAGGGAAACACACAACUUCUGUUUCAGAGGCUGACAGGCAGCGAAACAAAACAUCACAGAGGACAGGCUGCAAUGCAAGAAUGAGGGUGAAGGUCCAGGAGGAUAACACAUGCGUGGCAGUGGACAUUGAGUACAAUCAUAAUCACCAACUCAUGCAAACUGAUGACAUGCUGGUAUUCUUGCACUCACACAAGAAUUAUGACCCCACUAUUUUGGAGUACGUAAAGCUCCUGCAGUACCACGAUGUCAAGCACACAACAAUCAUGUCCAUGCUAUCUGAAAAUGAAGACGAAAGCUACUUCCUAAGCAUGACCGGACGAGACCUACUAAACCAGUAAGUAUUCAAACAUGCACAUACUGCAAUGUACAUAGCAUCCUAAGUCACAACCUUUUGCUAGCAAAAAUAACAAAUGCAUGUUUGCAUGUAAUUUGUAGGAAAGCCAUGAAUGCAAGGAAAGAUGAUUUGGAUGAUGUAUUGAAACUUAUAUCAUUCUUCAAAGACAUGAAGGCAAUCAAUGAUGAGUUUUUCUAUGACAUAGAAGUAGACAAGGACAAGUCAAUUAAAAACAUUUUCUGGUCCAAUGCAAGCUGCCGUGGAGCGUAUCAAGACUUUGGCGAUUGCGUAACAUUCGACACAACUUACAAGACCAACAGAUUUCAUAUGCCUCUGGGAGUGUUUGUUGGAACAAACCAUCACUUGCAGUCAACAAUAUUUGUUGUUGCCCUGAUCAGAGACAAAGAUGCAAAGUCAUUCAAGUGGCUGCUCGAUACAUUUGUACGGUGCAUGAACAACAAGCACCCAACUUGCAUUCUAACAGGUGAGUUAAAAAAAACUCUACAAGUUUCAUCAUCUUUUCAGUCUAUGGGUCUGUAUUGGGUAUAUUUGGUUUUAUUUGAAAAUAAUGUAAAGCAAGCAGUUCAACCACUGUUAGCACAGAAGUCCAACAAACAGUACAAGAAAGCAAAAUUAUCUGUCACAUGUUUAGAAAAAAAUUAGUUAUGAAUGUGAAGUUCAAAUACAGGAAUCAUAGAAGUUCAAGGACAAAGCUGUAAGAAAAAUAUAUGUAACAUGUUCAAAAAAAUAUAGUUAUUUAUGUGAAUUUCAAGCACCGGUACCACAUAAGUUCAACAACACUGCUGUAAGAAAAUUUUGUGUGUGACACUAUUAGGUAGUCCUACUGCUACCUGUGAAGUUCAAGAACUGGUACCACAGAAGUUCAACAACACUGCUAUAAGAAAAAAUACAUGUGACAUUUUUAGAUAGUCAUACUGCUACCUGUGAACUUCAAGCACUGGUACAACAUAAGUUCACCAUCAGUGCAAAAAGAAGCAAGUUUCAUUUUUUUAAUUCAUGCAGACCAGUGCCCGUCGAUGGCGAAAGCUAUACCACAAUCAUUCCCAAACACUGUCCACAAGCUAUGCCGUUGGCACAUCUUGAAGAAGUACAGGGAAUACCUCACGUUGCUGUACAAAAAGUAUAAAACAUUCAAAGAGGAGUUCACAGCUAUAUUAAACUGGCCGCUGAUGCCAACGGAGUUUCAAGCUGCCUGGGCUGAACUCGUGCACAAGUACAACCUAGAGAACGACCAGAUGAUGAUCCAGCUGUGGAGUGAUAGGAAAAUGUGGAUUUUAACAUAUUACAAGAACAUUUUCUGUGCUACAAUGACUUCCACACAACGAAGCGAGAGCAUGAACCACGUGUUCAAGAAAGGGUUUGUCAAGGGGACCCAGAACCUACACAAGUUUGCUAGGCGGGUAAAUGCUUGCAUACAAACUCAGAUGCAGAAGGAGAACGAGCAAACAAUGACCAACAUGGUAUGAAGACAAAAAAAUACCCCCAUCAUAUUGUGUUUUGCUUCAACAUGUGCACUUUGAAUUUUAAAAAAUGAAACCCAUGACUCUGCUUCGACUAAUAUCUUAUUUUUUGACAUGUGCAGACCAAUCCUGUUGACAAAAACAACUUACGGCUACGAGGAAGACAUGUCUAUCAAGUACACGAGAGUCGUGUACACGGAGAUGAGGACUAGGAUGAGAAAAGCCAUGCUAUUUCGCACAAAGCCUACAACAGAGCCUACUAAGUACCUUGUGUACUACCACAACAAGGCUGGCCAUGAUGAUGAAGAAAGAUUUUCCUGGUCAAAACAUGAAUUCCAGGUGGUAGCUGACCCAGAGAAUGAAAUAUACGAGUGUGAAUGCAAGCUUUGGACACACACAGGUGAGCGAAAAAAACUCAUUAAAUAGCUAAACUAGUAGUAUCAUAUCAAAAUAUAUGAAACUCAUUGCUGGCUCACAAACUAUGUAUUCUGCAUUCAUCACAAAAUGCAGGCCUGUUCUGCCUUCACAUCAUGAACAUACUGGACUACCUGAAGCCUGACAAAUUUCCACACAAGUAUAUCCUCAAACGGUACACAAAGACUGUAAAAUCACAACCAAUCUUUGAUACAAGGGACUACAACACAACUGCAUCAGAUGGCAGCUCAAGACUAUCGAAGCAAGACAUCUUGCUGCAGCUAAAUUUGAUGGUUAACAAGAAAGCGAUGAGAUGUGACCAGCAAUAUGACAGAGCCUUCUAUGUUCUCAAGAGGCUCGUGGAAGAGCUUGAUGCAAUACAUUCAGCAAAUCGAGCGGAUGCUGAUGAAAGGAUGGCUGAAGAGGAUGCUGAAAUUGAAGAUGACCUUCAUUAUUAUGCAGCUGAAAUGCUCCACGCCGCUGCUCAAGCCGACCAAUGCAAGCAGGGUGUUGACCAAUUAAUGCAGCAGCGACAUCAAGAGACGAUGAAACUGUCGCUGUACUCUGAAACAAAGGGUAGGAAGAAAAUUUCUGCAGCAAAGAAAAGUGACAAGAGAGCUCAAAUAAAGGCACCACCUGCAGGAUGAGUCGUCGUGCUCGAUGAGAACAGAGUGCCACUUGGACACAUGCAAUUUAGUGUGUGCAAAAAGGUUACAGGACACAACAAGCUCACCUGUCCAACACUCUUAGAAAGAAACAAUGCCGAGGAGGUCAAGCAACCCAAAGUUCAAAAACAGCAACCCAAAGUUAUAGAACAAAAGAAAGGACCACACCCACAGAAAGCAAGCAGCAGACUUUGUAGCAUAUGCAAGGAGUAUGAACCACAUAAUGCAAGAACAUGCCCGAAGCGUGCAGAUGCUGAAAAGACAAGCAAAAAGCCAGAGAAGAAACAGAAAGCAAAACCUAGAGCCAGCAAAAAGAAAGUGGUGGAAGAUGAAGACACCAUUGAAGAAGAGGAAGACGAAGAGGAAGUGGAAUGCGAGGAGGAAGAGGAAGAGGAUGAUGAAGAGGAAGAGGACAAUGAAGAGGAAGAGAAAGAGGAAGAUGAACAGGAGGUACAUGUCAAGCAAAAACCACUACAACCAAAGCCUAGGAGGAGCGCAAGGCUGAUGAACAGUUAGAUUAGGUCAAUUAAACAAAGCAAACUUAUGUCAUGUCAAUGUGCAGAAUAUUAUUCCACUUUUGAAAUAGUAUUUUAGGAGAAGCUUACUUGAAUUUUUAUUGUUGAAGUUUCAAAGAAAUUAUAGAGUAGAAGUUCAAGUAAACUUACUGCAGAAGUACUAGUAUAAUAUAAGAGGGGGUGCUGGUGAUGCAAAGUAUGAAAGAGCAAGCAGUAAUAAAAUGAAAAAUAUACAAUGUGAAGUUCAAGUAAUAUUACUGCAGAAGUCCUGCUAUAUUAUGGCAGGAAGUGCUGUGCUGGUGAUGUAUUGCAUGAAAGAGCAAGCAGUAAUAAAAAUGAAAAAUAUACACUAUGAAGUUCAAGUAAUAUUACUGCAGAAGUCCUGCUAUAUUAUGAGAGGAAGUGCUGUGCUGGUGAUGUAUUCCAUGCAAAGUGCAAGCAAGAAUAAAAAUGAGAAAUAUACACUAUGAAGUUCAAGUAACAUUACAGUGGAAGUUCUGGUAUAUUAUGGCAGGAGGUGCUGGUGUUGUAUUCCAUAAAAGAGCAACCAGCAAAUAAUUAUGCAGUUUGAAGUUCAGGUCAGCUUACAGAAGAAGUUCCGAUAUAUAAAAUUGAUGUAGGAACAAAAUAUGCUUAAAAAAUAAAGUUUUGCCGUAUGAACAAAGGUUAGCAAGCCUAAGACAACACGUUCAGAUAUGAAGUUCUGUUUGGAUACGUGCAGAAGUUCAUGUACAAUGCCGACAAAACAUAAAGAAAUGUUAAGGAGUGUAUGAGAAUAUUUUUGCACAAAGUUAUAGUUGAAAUCCAUUCGCAGUUGAAAAAUCACAAAAAAGAAAUAUAGAUUCUAUGCAAAAGGCUACGUAUUGGUUGGGUUGAAAAAUAACAAUACAUUACACAACACAGAAAAUCCUCUCCAUCUGAAACCAGCAGCCCAGCCAGAUCUCAAGCAGAAGUUCAGAUCAAAGAUCAUAUGCUGGGGCCCAAAAUUAAACAACACAAAAAACAAGCAGUUCAACCGUAACCCAGGGAGAAGUUCAGCUACAUCUGUUGGGGAAAAAACAUACAUUACAUGGAUACUGAAAACGAUGGAGUACAUUGAAAUUCACAAGCCAAAUCAUUCUUCGCACUAAAUACAUUUGUCUGCAAUAUCAUAAGUAAUAGUGUUGCAGCUAUAGAUACACAAAUCACUAAACCAUUCUUACAACCAAAUCUUUACAGAAUCGUUCGAAUCAUUAUCAAACCUAAAAUCUGUACGAAAUAAAAUCUACACUGAAACUAAUGCUUCGAAUUCACGGGCCCAAGGACUGGAUCUCUUUAGGAAGCUCUACACGCAUGACUUCAUUCUUCUCGCUAAAGAUUAGAGUGUGCAUGAACUCGGCCUUCCAGUCAUCUGCAGCAGCCUGCAAACAAGAAAUGAAAUGAUGGUUUAGUAAUGGAUAACUAAAACCACAGCAGGAUCGUCUCAGCAAAAACACACAAGAAAAAUGAAAGGAUGAUGAGACAAGAACAAGGAAAAAACAUACUUCCACAUCACCAAAAUCUUCAACAAGCUCAUCGCCAUCAUAUGAAGAGCAGAACUUCAUGGCAAAGAAACCACAAUCAUUAUUCUUUUGCUUUGGAACAUCGAUAAAAGUCGGCCUCUUUGCAAUAGUCACCCAGUUAGGCUGCUUGCUCGCUUUGUACGCAGCCUUGCCGUACACCUCCUCGAGCAACCCAACAAAUCUCUUGAUCUGCCAAAAAUAACAAAUAAGAUGAAGUCAAAAACAUGUUAACCAAAAUAGUUAAGUUCAGGUACAUAAAAAGCGACACUUGCAUAAGAUCCAGCUAAACAAAUAGCAGAAGUUCAAUUGUCAAAUGAUAGUCAGUUCAAGUAGUAUUACCACAAUAGAGAUAGAAACAUAUUUUCUCAACAGAAGGCAUAAUAAACUUCAUGUCAAACAAGAGAAUAUGAAAGGAGGUUUAGGCUAAGAAACACUCACGAUAUUUUGGCAGUCUCCGUGGAAACUUGUUCGUGACAUUCCCUUAUCAGUGUAAGGAAGUGAAUCAAGGAUGUCAAUGCUCCCACGAUAUCUAUUCAGCACAUACACACUGUAGUGCGCCAUUGUGUCAAUUGGCUUGAAUAGUAUUAAAAAACCUGCCAAGAAUGAAAGAAACGGUGAACACAAACUAUAAAGCAUAGAUAUUGAACAACCGGGAUGAACAAAAACUUCUUGACAAACUCAACAAAAGGAUGUAAAUAAAAUUUAAAAAAGUAAGAGUUAUGAAAACCUAACCAGCUUUGCGUUAAGAAGGUCUUCUUCCUUGCUAACAAACAUUCGAAGGAGAUUAGCAGAUUUUUUUGUAUCGAACUUUGGAACUGUUGCAACGAAGAAAUCAUACUCCAGGCAGUACUGUGCAUUCACAAAAACACAAAUAAAACACCUCCCAAAUGCCACUACAACAAAACUAGAGCAAAAAAAGGGAGAUAGGGGUGCAAAGAACUAAAACAUGUAUGAAGUAGGGACUAAGUACAACCAUGUCAGCACUAGUGAAUAUCUCAGAGGUCUCCGGCUUAUCCUUCCACAAAUUUAUGAGAUAAUCCAUUAUGUCUCCUUCCAUCUGCUGCCCUUCACCGAAAAGAGUAUAAAGGACACGUUAUGUGAGGUCGAUCACAUUCCCAAGGAUGGUAAACAUGCAGUAGCUUGUGCUGCAGAUUUAAAAGGAUGGGGAAAAAUAUUAGAAGUUCAGAUACAAUAACAAACAGAAGUUCAGAUACUAUAACUCAAAGGCAAUAGAGAUGAACGGAAGUUCGGAUACUAUAACAACAGAAGUUCGGACACUAUAACUCCAAGGCAAGGGAGAAAUGAACAGAAGUCCACAUACUACAACAACAAAAGUUCAGAACAAAGUAGCAUCCACUACAAAAAAAGACACAUCCGUGACAUUUUGGGCCGAACGAAAAUCUUUUCUGUCAUACUUAUGACACUUUUAUGAUGAUAAUUGUGACAAAACCCGGUAUCAUCAUAGAUGUGGUGGGGUCCUACUUCUAUGACAAAAAAUCAUGACAAAAAAUGGGCUUUUCGUCCUGGGCGGGCCGGAGACGCAGCUGCAUGACAUUCUUUGGGCCGUCCAUGACGGAAAAAACCGUGGUAGAAGCGAGGGCGCGGAAAAUAUCGAGGAGUCCCUGGUUACGGUGGGUGGUCGGGGGCCGAGCGAUGCGCGUUUGUCUCGUACGUAUGCGCGUGUGUGCAAGGCGUUGGGCUCUAACUAAUCCCGAGCGAGGCAUUGGGCUCUAACUGAACCCGAGCGAUUGCACUACAGGCUACGCGUUACUGAACCCGAGCGAUCGAUCGAUGGCUGUUAACUGAACCCGAUCGAGCGAUUCCUUCGCUACUGCAGCUAACUGAAGUCGAUCGAUGCUGCCUCUGGAUGAACAGUGAGCGUUGCUGGGGGGUUUGGAUGAACAGUUCCCGGUGGGGGUGGAUGAACAGGAGCCCGUGGCGUUGCCUCUGGAUGAACAGUGAGCAUUCCUGGGGGGUUCGGAUGAACAGUUCUCGGUGGGGGUGGAUGAACAGGACCCCGAUCGUUCGAGCCGGUUGGGGCUGGAUGAACAGGACCCCGUGGAGGGCAGGAUGAACAGGACCACCCCGUGGAGGGCAGGAUGAACAAUAGACGGUGGAGGGCUGGAUGAACAGUAGCCCGUGGACGGGUGGUUGAACAGGAGCCCGUGGAGAGGGCUGGUUGAACAGUAGGCGGUGGAGUAGCGCGCGGUGGAGGCUGGAUGAACAGGAGCCCAUGGAUGAACAGUCGCAGGUGGAGGCUGGAGGAGGUCGACGGUGGAUGAACAGUAGCCCGUGGAGGCUGGAGGGGGUCGACGGUGGAGAUGAACAGUAUCCCGUGGAGUCCCGUUUGCGGUACGCCACACCCCUCCCGAUGAACAAGACCCCCGUUUCGACCGUAGCGCUCCAACACAAGUCCGUUUCCUCCGUUUUGCGGUACGCCACACCCCUCCCGAUCAACAGGACCCCCGUUUCGACCGUAGGAGGUCCGUUUCCUCCGUUUUGUGGUACGCCAGACCCCUCCCGAUGAACAGGAUCCCGUUUCGAACGUGGCCGGUCGAACACAAGGCUGUUUCCUCCGUUCUGCGGUACGCCAGGCCUCGUUUCCAUCGGCUGUUCCGUCCAAGCCCUCCCGAUGAACACGACGACGCAUUCUGUUCUGACCCAGCCAGUUGGCUCUCCAUGAACAUGACGACGACGCUGUUUCUCCGUUCCGACCCAGCCAUGUACACGAGCCCUGGCCGUACGUAUGCGCGACUAGGCAUUCGAGACCCUGCCCAUAUGUACGUACGUGGCCGUAUUUUCUUUCUUGCACACUGGCCGCUGUACGUACGUGUACAUGCCAUGUGCGCGCCUCUACUACGACACGUGCGCGCCUCUACAUCGACCAGUAUGUACGUACAUGUUCGCGACCAGAAUGACAACGCUACGUACGCUUCGACCAGGUGGGUCCCGACUGUCAGGCACUUCCUUGCGUGCGAAGAUGUAGCUGGUGGGUCCCAGCAGUCAGGGGGGCGAAUCGUUUUUUUGCCCGGACGCACUUCCUUGCGUGCGAAGAUGUAGCUGGUAGGUCCCAGCAGUCAGGGGGAAACGUUUUUUUUCGCGAAAUACAGUUGCCCGUCUGGUGGGUCCCUGCUGUCAGGUGGAGGAAUAAUUAUUUAGCGCGUAAUAAGGAGGCACUUCCUUGCGGCCGCCGUGGACCCAGCUGUCAGCCUCUCCACGUACAGUACUCUUCCGAUGGAAGUCGUUCCUUGACCACGUUGACCACGCCGCGCCGAGAGCACCAGGGCGGUGGACGACGGUGAGGCCUAGGAAGGGGACGACGCGGAGCCGGGGAAGACGCGGCAGUGGAAGCCCGCGCGGAGAGGAGUACGAGGGUUCACUGGUUCGGCUGUGGUGUGAGGCUGCCGUCGCCGCAGGGCCUGGCCAUCGGUAGGAAUAGUAGGAGGUGGUGAGGCCUCCGCGGUAGCACAGCCGGCCACGGGAGGCAGGAGCAUGCGGCACGGCCGGCGCUGCUUUGGGCGGCUGGAGCAACAAGACCAGAGGUUGAAGAAGCACUACGACCAUUGGAUGGACAUCGUACGGUCACUGGAGCUAGAAUCGUUCAUAUUGACUAAGUUGACAAAGCACUCCGUCCCCGUCAACUUAGUAGGCCCACAAGUCAGCUUCCGAAACGGUGCGCCCAGAUGUCAGGGGGAGGAAUCAUUUUUUGGGCGGGUGAAGCUAGAAUAUCCGAGAUUGAAGAAGAAGCAAGGCAUCCGUUGGAUGGACAUCCAACGGCCACUGCUACUAGAACCGUGUGUCGACUAUAAGUUGACAAAGCCUUGCAUACGCGUCAACUCUCUUUUUUAGGGGACGCGUCAACUUAGUAAGGCCACAAGUGUGUGGCAGAGAACUUAUAGCCCAUUUGUGAUUUGUAAGAAUGUGCAGCCAAUUUUUGAAUUCUAAUGGAAUUUACUACAGCCCAUUUACAGUUUGUUAAAAGUACAGCCCAUUUCAACCAACCGUUCAAAACAGAAUUCAAUAAAAUUUCCCACAUUUUGAUGGGAUCCGAAAUAUUUUUAUCCCGAAAUUUCUAGUCAGAUUAAAUACAAUUUCAAUAUAAAUUUAUAUUACAUAAAAAUCCAACGAAACAUUGCGCACGCAACAAUUAAUGAAAUUAAAAUUUUCAAUAUCCAAAAAUAAUAUUUUAUAAAGUAAUUACGUGUUUGGUGCAUUUUUUAUAGUUACUGUCCAGUUUUUAUAAUUACAUCCCAUUUAUUAUUUCUUAAAGCCCAUUUUCUUGUUACGCCUAAUGCAUCCCUCCUAGGAAAGAUUUGCAGCCCAGCGGGGCGGAGAAUAACAACUUGACCUUGCCUGGGUAUUCCUAAAAAAAGUAUAGCUAGGCUAGCCAUUUUCAGCUUGAAAAAAAUUAAUAUCUGGGCUGGAUAUCUGGCCUGGGCUAGACGGGCCACAGCCCGGCCAGUUAAUAGCUGCAGCGAUGUUUUCGUUGUUGUUCAGAUGAGAAAAAUUAAUAUCUGGGCUAAACAUUGCUCAAGAAAAACUCUGCAGUGCUCACACCUCAAAAACACAAAUACUGCUCGAGAUGCUUGGUCCCAGCUGUCGGCCGCUUCUUGUGCAAUUCUCUCAUUUAUUGACUACAUAGGUUCACAAUGGUGUGGGACCGUGAUGUCAGGAAACCAGGAGGAAGCAAUUUUUUUUAUAGUUUUAUAUACUAAUAAGGAGGCACUUGCUGUCAUCCUCUCCAAGUAAAGUCAUCUCCUCAUCCUCAUGUCCGUUGACCAUGUUGACAACGCGAGACGGCGGCGCCACGGUGAGCGCAACAACUCGAAGGACGACGGAGAGGGCCUCGCGGGCCCUACGGAUGGUCUGAUACAGCGCCCGCUGCUCAUUCAGGAAGCCAGGAUCAUAGGGCCACAUGUCCGUGACGGCAUUGUCGUUCGCUUGUUCACCGGUGCUCGUUGAGGAGACGGAGGUUGCAGCACAGGUCCUCCUGCGCUGGUAGCUCUUCCGCCAUUAGGGCGUCGAAGUGCGGCCGCACCUGCUCUAUGGUGAACACGGCAUGAACCGGCUUGGACAGUGGCGCCGGCUCCUGGUCGGAAGCUACGUCCAUUGUCUGAUUGUCGUUGCUCAGCUCGACGAGGUAGCUGGCGAGCCAACAUGUCCGGCUGCUGGACCGACCCGCUGCCAAGGACGAGUCUGAUUGCCCUGGCCCACCCAGACCGCCUCCCUCGCCCGCGCGCGCUUUUCGCCCGAAACGGUCGGCGCCGCCCGCCCCGCUUCCCGGUGCAUGCGAUUGCUCCGCCUUCAAACGACACAAGUGCUGUCCGUCCGUCCUUAUGCCGCCCACAUUAAUGAUAUGCGGUUGCCGAGGCGGCUACUAUGGCGCCACACGUCCGUCCCUCCGCCGCCCACCAUUGCUAUAUAUACUGCUGCGCCGGCCAUAGCCGCAGUCAUCCGCAUUCGUUCCUAUUCUCCUGUCCACACCACUACUGCCCACCAUGGCUUCCUCGCGCUCUAGCGCUCUUCGGGACGGGCGGACGACGGACCACAAGGAGAUGGCAGCCAUUGCUGCCGACUGGCUGGCCGGCAGGCAGCCGGAGGACGACAACGUCCCAAUGGAGAACAUGGUAGUCGACGAUCCGGCGCCAACCCCCUAAUCCGCGCCAUCCUCGCCGGUGCAUUGCACAUGACCAUCGGCGAGGCCCGUGCCCAAUAUAUGGACCCGGUGAGGCAGAAGCGUGAGGAGCAGUUCCAGGAGGCACAGGCCGACGCCGCCUACAACCACCAUCUCCUCCAGGAGCACCUUCAGGCGGAGGAGCAGAUUGCCGCGGAGCAGGAGGCGCUGCUCGACUCGUACCGCUCCGCCCGCGAGGGCCGCCUCGAGCGCUAGCGGUAUCACAUGCAGGUGGCGGAGGCUGCGGCCGCCUACAAAGAGGGCGAUGAAGCGGCCGAGGCGCUGUUUGGCGAGACCGAGGACGAGGCAGAGGACAAUGACGGCUCCAACGAGUCCCCGCUCCGCUGGCGUCGACGAGGCCCUGCUCUGCCGAGGCCCCGCGGCGCCAACAACGAGGCAGAGGACACCGCCGGCUCCGCCGAGGCCCCACCCUGCUGGCAACAAGGGGGAGGAUUUUCCCCCGCUCCGCUGAGGCGCCGCCCGCCGGCAACGAGACAAAGGACAUCGCCGGCUCCGCCGAGGCCCCGCCCUGCUGCCAACGAGGCCGCGCCACAUAGAAAACAAGGAAGGGUAGAACACGGUAGGUCGCCGCCGCUCGGGUCCAAGUAAGGCCACCGCUGCUACCCUCCGGUUGCUGGCACUGAGCUGUACAUCAUGGUGCAAUUCUAUGGUUAUAGGCUGAUUGAAGAGCGCUCCGUGGUUGAGCAAGCUCAUGAGAUACAGUCAUUUGCUAGAGAACUUGAGCACUUCAGUUGUAUGCUAUCGGACAAUGUGCGAAGUAAAAAGGAAUAGAAGGAGUACAAAGAGUUUGAGCAGCUUUUUAGCAUUCCUGUACAUUGCAAUCACAUCGAUUCACAUGUCAUAGAGAACAUUCAAAACAAUCGAUGAUUAUGCAUCUCAGCGAUUCACAUGUCAGAGCCAAUAUUUACUUCACAACUAAAGAAUAAAGAAAAAAAUGGAUCGACGCUGUUGACAGCAAAGGGCGUCCCAUUCAAAAAUAUGAAACGCAUGUCUUCUUGCUAAAAUCAAUGAGCAAAAUUUGACAAGGUUUUCCCAUUCCAAAAUAUCAAAUGCCUAUGAUUGUGGAAUGGGCAGGGUUUGCCAUUGAAAGUGCUAGUUAUCGACUAGAGGGGGGGGGGGUGAAUAGGCGAUUUUUAUCAAAGUCUUAAAAACAUGAGAGUUUCGAAGACAAACAAUAGAAAUGAAUCUAUUCAUAUGCAGCGGAAGGUAGACUACACUAGGCAGGCCAUAGUCAAGUAUUCAAUGAAGUGAAAGCACGAAGACUAAUAGCAGCUAGGUAGUAAAGAUCAGGAUGGAAGAUAGUAUGAAGCCAAACAACAAUAGAAGUCAAACAGGUAACACAGGCAGGCAAUGACUUCACGAAGACAAACUGUAAAUAAAGAGAGGGAGAGGAUAGAACCAGUCGCUUGGUGAGGACAAGGAUUUGUUGCACCAGUUCCAGUUGCUGGGACAACUGUACGUGUGGUUAGGGAGGCUGAGAUUUAACUCAGAAGACCGUGUCUUCACCUUAUUCUCCUUGAGCUAAGGACACCCAGUCCUCGCCCAAUCACUCUGGUAAGUCUUCAAGGUAGACUUCCAAACCUUCACAGACUUCGUUCACCGGUGAUCCACAAUGACUCUUGGAUGCUCAGAACGCGACGCCUAACCGGCUGGAGGAUUCACAGUCCUCAAGUGUAACAAGUCUUCAGGUCACGCAGACAGAAAGACUUCAGUGAAGCCUAACACUCUUUGGCUCUCGGUGUUUGGGCUUUGUCCUCGCAAGGAUUUCUCUCUCUCAGAAGCUUCGGAGGUGGGUUGCUCUCAAACGACAAAAGCCAUGCACUAACUCUGAGCAGCCACCAAUUUAUGGUGUAGGGGGUGGGCUAUAUAUAGCCACUAGGCAACCCGACCUGAUUUGUCUGAAAUGACCCUGGGUCAUUAAGGAUUUGACACGUGUUCCAACGGUCAGAUUUCAAACACACGCGGCAGCUUGACUUGGGCUACAAGUAAAGCUGACUCAUCCAACUCUGGAUAAGAUUUGCUCUCAUUGUCUUCGCUCGAAGACAUAGGAUUUGGUUGAGCAUCACUUCAGUCACUCUAACUUUGUUCACUUGGACCCCACUUAAUAGUACGGUGGUUCCUAUGACUCAACAAAGAAGAAAAUGAAACAACGAAACAACUAUGUCUUCGCGCUUCAAAGUCUUCACGCGAUGUCUUCUUAUGUCAUAGUCUUCAAUGUGAAUAUCUUCACAUACCACCAUUGUCUUCAAUGUCUUCACACAUUUUUAGGGGUCAUCUCCGGUAGGUAAACAGAAUCAAUGAGGGACUACUACCUGUGUUAUCCUGCAAUUCUCACAAACACAUUAGUCCCUCAACCAGGUUUGUCGUCAAUACUCCAAAACCAACUAGGGGUGGCACUAGAUGCACUUACAAUCUCCCCCUUUUUGGUGAUUGAUGACAAACUGGUUGAAGUUUUCAACGGGGAUAAAAGUAUGUGAAAUUGUAGAGGUUAAAGGUAUUGUCUUCAUAAGUAGCAACAGGCUCCCCCUGAAGAUGUGCAUAUAAGUAAUUUGCUUUUGGAAUGCAAAUGCACAUGGCAGGUUGUACUUGUGGAGAUCCUCUUCGACUUAUGAAGAUAAUUGAUCAUGCAUGAUAAGAUAUAACUAAGAUAAUGAAAUGCAUAAUAAAAAAUGGACGUCUGCAAUAUGACUUCGUGCGGGAUUUAUCAUCGCACAUGCGGAAUUUAUCAUCGCAUCACAGAAAAGCGAACAAGUAGCAGACGACCAUCAAGUUUAAGUGUUACAACUCAAAGAACCAAAUGUAUCGAAAGUGAGAGUUGUAAACACUAGGCAAAAUAUAAAGCAACCGCCCAUAUGGACCCGCUUGAAGACUAUCAACUCAUAUGCUUCUCCCCCUUUUGUCAGUAAGGACCAAAAAGGUUUGAAGACAUAGAGCCUCUACUCGUUCCCAGAAGGAGUAGGUGAAGCUGCAGGGUCGGUGUCGAGGUUUGGCGGUGCAGAAGAACUUGGGGCAUUGUCGACACGCACUGAAGUUGGAGGUGGUGAGGUAGCAUCAUCUUGAUCAUCGAUGACUCUGGCAUUCACCGUUGCAGCUGAGGAGGAAUAGUCAGAGUCUUCAAGAGAGGGAGUCCGACGCAAGACAGCAUUCCUUGGAGGAGUGGAGUCAAACUUGAAUCUUUCAGUGAAGCCAUCGUCUUGAAGAUCUGCUUCAACACUGAGCAAGGUUAAACUCUUCCAUGACCCCCGACAGGUUUCAUGAGUGACAAAUGCAUUCUUGGUGGCAAGAUUGCGAAUGCGAUUUACGUCCACCAAGAGGCUUUGCAUCUGCCGCUUCAGCCAGUAGUGAUGCUUAUCCUAUUUCUGAUGCAGGGCAACGAGAAGCUCUCGGUCAUUGAGAACACGAGAUUGCUUCCGAGGCCUUUGAGCAAUAGUGCUUUCAGUGGCUUUAGUAUGGGCACGGUGAGGGAAGCGUGUAUUGCCAGCCAAAGGAUAAACACGAGUGACGGCCUGAACUCCUUCAAUGGGCUAUGUGAAGCUUUGGUGAUCAACAUUGUGAAGACAAACAGGCUCCUUGGCAGGCUCCGGGUAUAUGGCUUCAACUGACAUAUCAACCUAUGGCAAAAAUAUCAGAUGGUUGCAUGCAGAAGGUCGAUAGUUGACGGCAGAGUGAAGCUUGAUAAGGCGCAUAACCCAUGGAGCGUAGAACUUCAGACCAAAGAGAUCAGAGCCUGAUGCAGCCAAUUGUCUGAUAAAGAAGUCUUGAGCAUUGAAGCUGGUGCCAUUGAAGAUAUAAAAGACCAAUGUCUUCAUCGCUCCUUCAAGCUUUGCUGCAGAAGAAUGUCCUUUGACAGGCCAGAGAGUUCGCCUUAUGAUAUGAUAAAUAGUGCGGGGCAGAUACUCUAGGUCUUCAACAAAGAAAUCUCUUGGGUACUCAGCGUCGCGUGGCAGAGGCUUCGUCAUGCUUAGCAUUUGGUUCAUGUUGGGCUCUGGCUUCUGAAAGAUGCUCUCGAAUGCAUUGCGGUGAAGCUGACAACCAGGCUCGAAGAGUUCACCUGGAGUGGGCAGGCCAGUUAGCUCAAUGAUAUCAAGAGCUUUGGCUUCAUGAUGGACAUUGCCUGUCAUCCACUCAAGGACCCAAGUCUUCGGAUCCCCGUUGUAGCCGCGAAUGUGGAGGGUAGCAUAAAAUUGUAGCAGAAGCUCUUCAUUCCAAUGCUCCUUAUCAGUCACAAAGUUCAACAGACCAGCAUCACGGAAGCAGUCAAGGGCUUCUUCAAGGCAGGGCAGUCCAGCAAUGGCUUCAGUGUCUAGACGCAUAUGUGGAAAGAUACGCCCUUGGUCAUAGAGAACACAGGAAUAGUAGCUGCGCUGCUGAUAGCUCCAGAACCGAUCUGAUGAAAUCCUUGGCUUGGAAUAGGGGUUCUUGGCACUAUCAAAGAAGGGACAAUUGCAUUUUUACCCCUAGUUGGUUCCUACCCACGGGUUUUGCCCUUACUUUUCGAGCUUGAUCAGUUUUGCCCUUACUUUUUUCGUCGAGGUCCCUCGAAUGCCCUUUGACCGUUUGACCAAAACUUUGAAAAUUCAUAACUAAUUCAUAUGAACUCGGAAAAAUGCAAAUAAGAUAUCAAAAGCACCCUUUAUGUGCAUAUUAUUUUCAUUCGAGGACAUAUGAACUCGGAAAAAUGCAAAUAAGAUAUCAAAAGCACCCUUCAGAUAAACAUUACCUUUAUGUGCAUAUUAUUUUCAUUCAGGACAAAAGCACCCUUUAAACUACCUAAGGUAAUUAAUGUUAUUAACAUUAUCAAAAAUAAAAAGUUAUAAAUAAUAUUUUUUUCAUGAAUAAAAAAUACAUGCAAAUGUAGGUGAUGUUUUCUGAACAUCCAGAUAUCUUAUUUGCAUUUUUCUGAGUUCGUAUCAUCUUGUUAAGAAUGUUCUAAUGACUUUGACCAUUAUUUGGAAACUUCAUAACAAGUUGAUACGAACUCAGAAAAAUGCAAAUAAGAUAUUAGGAUGUUCAGAAAACAUCACCUACAUUUGCAUGUAAUUUUUAUUCAUGAAAAAAUAUUGUUUAUACCUUUUUAUUUUUAAUAAUGUUAAUAAUAUUAAUUACCUCUGGUAGUUUAAAGCGUGUGUUUGUCCUGAAUGCAAAUGAUAUGCACAUAAUGGUAAUGUUUAUCUACACAUUUCGAUAUCUUAUUUGCAUUUUUCCGAGUUCAUAUGAAUUAGUUAUGAAUUUUCAACAUUUUGGUCAAACGGUCAAAGGGCAUUGGAGGGACCUUGACGGAAAAAGUAAGGGCAAAACUGAGCAAGCUCGAAAAGUAAGGGCAAAACCCAUGGGUAGGAACCAACUAGGGGUAAAAAUGCAAUUGUCCCAUCAAAGAAAGUGUUGUGCGCAAUGAAGCCAUUUGCAUUGAAUGACCCUGGUGAAGUUGCUGUACCUGGAAACCUUGGCAACCUUGGCUUAGGCUUCUGGACCUGAGGCCUGUGCUCGAUAUGAUAGUCAAAUUGUGGACCAGCAGCAGGUGGAGGAACCAGAAUGGGCCAUCUAACAGUGACCAGCCGACCAUGAUCAUAUGCCUGCUCGAUGGUGUGUGGCCGUGGAGGCGGUACAGGAGCAGUGGCUGUGGUUUUGACUUUAGGCUGCAGAUUUGCGUCAGGUGCAGCAUUGGCUUCAGGUGCAAUCACGUCGUGCACCACAUUAACUUUAGGCGCCAUAUUAGCUUCAGCCAUGACAACGCCAUUGGCUUCAGUGUUGGUGUUGGUGGUCGCCUCAAUGUUAUCAACCUCCACUCGAGUAGCUGGAGGGUCGUACAUGUUCUCCUCGAGAACAACUUCAGGGUUGGUUGGGGGUGUAGCAACACGUUCUUCUUCAUCUCUUGGUUCUUCUUGGUCAUCGGCUGAUGCAGCCGGAAUAUCUUCAGCCGCGUUGGCUUCAGACUCGGAGUUGUUCACUAUUGGAGAGGCUUCAGGAAAUACUUGGCGAGAUACUGAUUGGUGCUCUUCUCCUUUUGGAACACUCGACAGAGUGACUUGUGGCCUUGGUCCUUUACGAAGCCUGCGGAACGCUGGCGACGCUUGUGGAGAUGGAGUUGUCUGGGCCACAAAGUCUUCAUCUUCAAGCACCGGAGUGGUGACUUGAGUUGGGGGAGUAGUUGGUGUUUCUUCUUGUCGGGGGGAGUCUUGAGGGUGAUCAGCCCAUGAAUCAUCCUGAGCAAUUGGCGUCAAGGGACGACCAAUGCUGAUGAGUUCGCUGUUCGUGAGAACAGGCGAUGAUACCACAUUUUGCUCGAUCUGAGGAAGGGCUUCAUCAUCUUCUACAUUGUCAUGUUGACCAAUGUCUUCAGCUACGGUGGGGUCAACAGCUGGAAUGUCUUCAGCUUCAGGAGCUUCAAUGGAAGCAGGCUCAUGAACUAUCAUUCGGCGCUCUUGAUGUGCAGAUGCAGGACGAGCAACAGAAAUUGGCUCGACGACAAGGGGCUCUGUGGGAGCAGCCCGAUCCUUCUUCUUGGUUUUUCACUUCUUGGCAGGAGGAGCCUCGUCAGUGGUGUUCUUGGUCUUGCGCUUUCUGGCUUCGGCUUCAGCUGCCCUCGUUUUCUUGAGCUCCGAAGCCACUGUGGUGACCUUAGGCUUCACGCCUGACAUACUGGCCGGGAAGACAAUGCGAGGUUCUUCCCGCCUGGAUGCUUCAGCUUGGUCCACAGCUGGCUUCUUCUUGGCAGCCAUCUUAGGGUCAAUGCCAGGAUGCCCAAGUGCCUUGCGCUUCUCAGCUUCAUUGUAGGCUUGAAUACAUUUGGCAGCCAAGAGCUUUAUGCGCUCUCAAGAACCUUUGGCUUCAUCACGUUUCUUGUGAAACACCUCCUUGAGCUCAUGCAUCAUGGUCUUGAAGUUUUGGACGUCUGUCGCACUGAGCUCGGCCAUAUGCUUCUUGAACUGAGCCUUUUCAUAGUCAAUCUUGUGCUUCAGUUUAACAAUUUUCUGAGCUAGAGCCAGCUCAGGAGCAAUGGCUCCAUGGAAGGAGACGCUGAGGCCAAUGGGGAGUUGGAGAUCAUCAAAACUGAGGUUUGGGCUGUCAAACCACUCGUCAAUGAAUUUGUCCAGAUUGUCCACAUCGAAGAGGGGAAGAUCAUUGAAGAUUUCCGCCUCUUGCUUGCUCUUUAUUAGCAGCUCAAGAGCAUCAUCGCCAAAAUCGUCGUCACUAGACAGAUCAAUGGCGUCGUUCUCAUUCCUCAGAACGGCAACAGGGGUCAGUGCUUGAACAGUAGGAUGCACGGGCUUCUUCUUCUUCUUAGACUUGGAGAUGCGAGAGAGAUCUUCAGAGUGCACGCUUGGUGCAGGAGGAGCAGUGCCCAGAGGCUUCGCUUGCAAAGCUCUUGGUGCAGCUGAGGGCUUCGAAGCCUUGGGUUUCUUCAGCUUCUUAGGCUUCGGUGGUGCAGGCGCUUCGUCAGAAUCAACGUCAUCUGCAGAGUGAUCCACGGCUGCCCCUUGAACCAUGAUGUGAGUGAUGAGACCCUCUAGGUUGUAGAAGGGCCCAACAAGAUUGGGUUCAGCUUCGCGUGUGCCAUCUGCACAAGGAGCAGAGGGACCUGGGUUGAAGUCUAAUCCCCGCGACUUCUUGUUCUCUUUGGCUGAGUUCUUGGCAAACUGAAAGUUGCGCUUGAACAGAUUGUCUUCAUGACACCAUAGCAGAGAGGAUGGGUCGGCAUCAGCAGGCUGCGGUCCACGGACCAUGCAAGGGUAGAAACCCUGAUCAAUGGCUUCAGCUCUGGACCUGGGUGGAAGAUUUUUGUAGAAGAUGUCUCCCCAGGGUCGCUUGAUGGCAUUCUUUUCAGCAUAUUCCUGGGUGACGAACCUGUACUUGAACCAUUGUUCAGACCAAUAUCUUCGAAUCCAUUGGAUUCGAGUUUUGCGUUGGCCAUAGCUCUCCUCAGGAUCAGUUUUGUAAAGCUCAUAUAGAUCUUCGGGCAGAUCCAUUGAUGUGCCCCCGCGGCGCUGUCUGCCUCCCUUCCUUGCUGAUUUUUCUGUUGCCAUGAAGUUCAGACUGAAAGGCUUCAAAGCUGUCAAAGUCUUCCGUCUGCUGGUCAGACAGGAACUGGCUUCGGGAGAGUUGAUGAUGCUGUAAGAAUUCUGCAAAUGAAUGCAGACUAUGAGAACCAAGGGAUUCUCCCACGGACAUGUACCUGUGACAGCAUUAGAGUUGCGAGGGAAGGGGAAGAGGUCAUAUGCAUUCUCAGAAGAUUUUGAAGAAAAAUCAGUUUAGAAGACUUUGACCUCAUAGCGUGAAGACAUUCACUUAUAUGUUGAGAGUUGGUUCUAGAUUUGUACGAAUCCAAGAAUAGGUACAAGUGAGGAAUCUAACUACAUGUGAAGCAUAAGUGAAUAUACUAGGCAUCAUAUGAGAUGCAAAACAGGAUAGAUCCAAAUUUGUGGAGACAGAAACCACUUUUGGUAGGAAGGAUGAAUCUGUCGGAUCAAAAAGAUAGUAAAAAAGAGAGUUUUAAUUUACCACACGAUGAACUGCUAGACGGAGUAGAAGAUGAGGCCGAGCGGUUCGAUCUUCCGUGCCCUAACUUGGCGACGGAGGACACCUACGGCGGCGGCGGAGAAGACGAUGUCCGUGGCCGGCGUGAAGACGGCGUCGGAGAGGUCGCGACAGCUAAGCGCUUCGUCGCCGGCGUCGUCGAGGGCUAGCGGUGGCGCUAGGGUUUGUCGAGGUGGAGAGGUGGAAGAAGUGUUUUGACCGCGAUGUGAUGUGCAUGUAUAGGGAGAGGGACGGCACAGCGCAAUUACGCAGGUGCCCCUGGCGGUUCACAUCUGAGGGACACAACAUGCAACACAUUGGAAGUUGUUCCAUGUUCCCACGCACGCCUGGACUGUCGGGUGGUCGUUCCGGCUUCUCCGGGUUUCAGGCAAUAAGGAUUGAGCAUUUAAAACAGAUUUAAUGUUUGUCUCUGUAUCUUCUGCUGACAAGGACGCAGAGAAGACAUUCGACGGUUUCAAUAGAAUGCAUAUGAUUUGGAUAGAUAGAGUUUGAGGUAGGAAGCAUAGAGAGGUUAGGGUCCGAUCACAUUCACUUAGUUCAAAAGAUUCAAACGAGAUGACAUAGCUAUAAGUGAAUGCUGUAGAGGACAGAACACUAACAUAUGUAUAUAUCAGAACAAGACCAAAAGAAGUCAUGUUACUAUUGAAGACAAAUCAAAUGCGAAGACUUAGCAAAUGUAACGCCAAGAGAAAAACAUUCCAAACAAAAGUUUGGUGGUGGUGUUACCCACCGUAUAGGAAGUAUUAGACCCAGACACGGCGCACAAUUAUCGUGGUGCUCCGAAGUCAAAUUCCGCAUUAAUGUAUUCACACUCAGAGUGUAAGUCUUCAUUGAUUGCAGAUAUACAUUACUUCGUGUGUUGCUCAUCUAAGUCAUCAACAUGCAUAAGUGUUAGGAUGUGUGCCUGAUCGCAGGACAUUCGAGGAUUCCAAGAUAUUUAGCUCACACCGCAACUUGCAAAACCUUUUCUCAUCCAAGGGCUUUGUGAAGAUAUCUGCCAAUUGCUCUUCAGUGUUGACGUGUAUGAUAUCAAUAUCUUCCUUCAUAACAUGAUCUCUGAGAAAGUGAUGACGAAUUUCAAUGUGCUUUGUCUUCGAGUGCUGAACUGGAUUGUUGGCAAUCUUGAUGGCGCUUUCGUUGUCGCAGUAGAGUGGUACUUGUUUCAGAUGGAUGCCAUAGUCCUUGAGAGUUUGCUUCAUCCAUAGAAGCUGAGCGCAGCAAGAUCCAGCAGCAAUGUAUUCAGAUUCAGUAGUGGAGAGUGAUACACAGUUCUGCUUCUUUGAAGACCAACAGACAAGUGAUCGUCCCAGAAAGUGACAUGUGCCUGAUGUAGACUUGCGAUCCACCUUGUCACCAGCAUAAUCAGCAUCCGAGAAUCCAACUAGAUCAAACUCUGAGCCCUUUGGAUACCAUAAUCCUAGUGUUGGGGUGUAAGCCAAAUAUCAAAGAAUUCGCUUCACAGCUAAGUGAUGCGAUUCCUUUGGUGCCGGUUGGAAUCGAGCACACGUGCAAACACUAAGCAUGAUAUCUGGCCUAGAUGCACAUAAAUAAAGUAAAGAACCAAUCAUGGAGCGGUAUACCUUUUGAUCGAACUCUUUACCAUUGGUGUCGGGACCCAGAUGACUCUUGGUUGGCAUUGGCGUCGUGUAACCUUUGCAGUCUUGCAUUCCAAACUUCUUCAGGCAGUCUCUGAGGUAUUUCUCUUGAGAUAUGAAGAUGCCAUUGCUUUGCUGACAAAUUUGAAGACCAAGGAAGAACUUCAGCUCACCCAUCAUGGACAUCUGAUAUUGCUCUUGCAUCAUGUGUCCAAACUCAUCACUGUAUUUCUGGUUGGUGCGGCCGAAGGUAAUGUCAUCCACAUAUAUUUGGCACACAAACAGUUCACUAUCAUAUGUCUUCGUGAAGAGUGUGGGAUCCAGGGAACCAGGUUUGAAGCCUUUGCUCUUCAGGAAGUAUUUGAGUGUGUCAUACCAAGCGCGAGGGGCUUGUUUGAGGCCAUACAAUGCCUUGUUGAGCUUGUACACCAUAUCAGGAUGUUUUGGAUCUUCAAAGCCAGGAGGUUGUGCAACAUACACUUCUUCUUCAAUCUUGCCGUUGAGAAAUGCACUCUUCACAUCCAUUUGAUACAGAAAGAUGUUGUGAUGAUUUGCAUAGGCUAGCAAUAUGCGAAUAGCUUCAAGCCUAGCCACAGGAGCAAAUGUUUCAUCAAAUUCAAUCCCUUCAACUUGAGUGUAUCCUUGAGCAACGAGACGAGCCUUGUUUCUGACAACUUGACCAUGCUCAUCUUGCUUGUUUUGAUAAAUCCAUUUUGUGCCUAUUAUGUUGUGCUUGCGAGGGUUAGGACGCUUGACAAGUUCCCAGACAUUGUUCAGUUUGAACUGUUGAAGCU
RNAcentral lists this long non-coding RNA (35123 nucleotides) under Triticum aestivum (bread wheat). RNAcentral describes it as "long non-coding RNA (TAES_LNC013094)". Lineage: Eukaryota; Viridiplantae; Streptophyta; Magnoliopsida; Poales; Poaceae. The record is from RNAcentral.